This 536-nucleotide ribosomal RNA is filed under the name uncultured bacterium. RNAcentral describes it as "partial 16S ribosomal RNA". It matches the Rfam family "Bacterial small subunit ribosomal RNA", at positions 354 to 901 of the family's 1533-position model. The record is from RNAcentral.
UGGGGGAAUAUUGCACAAUGGGCGAAAGCCUGAUGCAGCAACGCCGCGUGAGGGACGACGGCCUUCGGGUUGUAAACCUCUUUUAGCAAGGAAGAAGCGAAAGUGACGGUACUUGCAGAAAAACGCGCCGGCUAACUACGUGCCAGCAGCCGCGGUAAUACGUAGGGCGCAAGCGUUAUCCGGAAUUAUUGGGCGUAAAGAGCUCGUAGGCGGUUUGUCGCGUCUGCUGUGAAAACCCGAGGCUCAACCUCGGGCCUGCAGUGGGUACGGGCAGACUAGAGUGCGGUAGGGGAGAUUGGAACUCCUGGUGUAGCGGUGGAAUGCGCAGAUAUCAGGAAGAACACCGAUGGCGAAGGCAGAUCUCUGGGCCGUAACUGACGCUGAGGAGCGAAAGGGUGGGGAGCAAACAGGCUUAGAUACCCUGGUAGUCCACCCGUAAACGUUGGGAACUAGUUGUGGGGUCCAUUCCACGGAUUCCGUGACGCAGCUAACGCAUUAAGUUCCCCGCCUGGGGAGUACGGCCGCAAGGCUAAACU